This 513-nucleotide ribosomal RNA is filed under the name uncultured bacterium. RNAcentral describes it as "partial 16S ribosomal RNA". It matches the Rfam family "Bacterial small subunit ribosomal RNA", at positions 28 to 523 of the family's 1533-position model. The record is from RNAcentral.
GAUGAACGCUGGCGGCGUGCCUAAUACAUGCAAGUCGAGCGAACAGAUGAGAAGCUUGCUUCUCUGAUGUUAGCGGCGGACGGGUGAGUAACACGUGGGUAACCUACCUAUAAGACUGGGAUAACUCCGGGAAACCGGUGCUAAUACCGGAUAACAUUUAGAACCGCAUGGUUCUAAAGUGAAAGAUGGUUUUGCUAUCACUUAUAGAUGGACCCGCGCCGUAUUAGCUAGUUGGUAAGGUAACGGCUUACCAAGGCGACGAUACGUAGCCGACCUGAGAGGGUGAUCGGCCACACUGGAACUGAGACACGGUCCAGACUCCUACGGGAGGCAGCAGUAGGGAAUCUUCCGCAAUGGGCGAAAGCCUGACGGAGCAACGCCGCGUGAGUGAUGAAGGGUUUCGGCUCGUAAAACUCUGUUAUUAGGGAAGAACAAAUGUGUAAGUAACUGUGCACAUCUUGACGGUACCUAAUCAGAAAGCCACGGCUAACUCCGUGCCAGCCGCCGCAGUAA